Molecule: long non-coding RNA, 3246 nt
Filed under: Zea mays
Lineage: Eukaryota; Viridiplantae; Streptophyta; Magnoliopsida; Poales; Poaceae
Description: long non-coding RNA (ZMAY_LNC004311)
Source: RNAcentral
UUCCAUACCCUUCCGUAUAUUGUUGUUUCCUGUACUGCAGCUUGAAUGUGAAGAUUCACUUUUGCAAACAUGAACUAUACCCAUCUCUGCUACGAGCAGACAGACAUGGCGACGUGCCGAGGCAACCUUUGCUGCUGUGGCAACAAAGACAGGGUAGGACUGAAUAACAAUUAAACGUACAUGAGUGUAUUGACUACCUAGUAAAGCAGAAUUCAAACAAGACAAACCAGGUAUAUAAUACAAUUUGCUUGCCCAUAUCGAUGUGUCAACAAAUUUUCAAAUCUGUAACAUAGUCUAAAACUGUUCAACAAUCUAGCGAAAGAUAGAUACAGAAUCACCUAAAUAGAAAAGCAUAUAAUGCAGGGCCCAAUACAAUUACACAGAAAAGAAACUCCAAACAAUCACCUUAAUCCUUGCUGAUUUUUGGACAGCAGAACAACAACUAUUCGUUUAGCUCAUAACUCACAAGAUAUUCAUGCAAAAAUAGUAAACUAGGACUUUAUAAAAAGCUUAUAAAGUCUUCUACAUCUUUUGUAUUACAAUCAGAACAAGGUUCGACCUUUAGAAAGGUCAAACAGUGCUAAACAUAAAUUCUGUCCAGAUUUGGACAGAAUUCGACUACUUACUUCAAAAAUCCAUAACUGGAGUUUCAGGCAUCCAAAUCAGGUGAUCCUAGACUUUUUAGAAAGCUAAUAUAAUUGUCUACAAUUCAUUUAUAAACAUCCCAGGUUAAUUCAAUAUAUAUCAAGGUCAGAAAACAUGAGAAAGACUCUGCUGUUCAAAUUUGGACAGAUUCAGAGAUCACACUUCAAACAGCUGUCACUUAACUUAUAGAUCACCAAAAAGGGUGAUCCAAGACUUUUUGGAAAGCUUAAAAAAGUACUACAAUUAUUCUAUAAUUACUAAGGGUUGAUUCUCAGUUUAGCUUAGCCAAACAGUACAAUUUUUGAAACCUGUACAGAAUUUGGACAGAUUCUAAAACAGGACUUAAGAAAAUCAUAACUCCUAAACUACUAAACCUAUGAUCAUGAAAUUUUUACACAAGUAAGAUAAAGAAGUUACCUACAACUUUUCUAUAUAACAUUUCUACAGAAAACAUGGUUUACUUCAUUGAACUAGCUCCUUACGAAACUGGACAUGCAGUCCCAAACAGCAAGCGUUCCAUUUAGCUCCUAUUUGGUUUUUACAAUUAUCAUGUGCUUGACACUUUCUAAUCGCAUAUAUAGAUUUCUGCUAUUUUAUAACCAUGAAUCCAUUUACUUCACAUAAUCUAGUAUUUUGAACCUACUCUGACAUUAUGCAAACAAAGAAUCAAUUUAAGUACACUAUGCAUACACAUAUAUUCAUCCAAGCACAUUCCAUACAAUAUCAUCACCAAGAACUCAUUUUUAUUACACUAUGCAUAUAAAGUCGCUCUCUCUAUUCACCAAAUAUAUGACAUACAACAUACCAUCACAAGGACAAAAGAGAAAAGAGAGAAACAAGCAUUCCCUGACAACAACCCAUAUUCGCCUAGAACCUUUGAUUAAUCAACAUGAUAGAAGAUAAUGAUGACUAAGACUGAUCUUCAGCUUCAUAAAAUAAUUGGCUAAUUUACUUGCAAUAACACUACCUCCCUUGUGCAGUCCUCGGCACAACACUACACUAUAUGCCUAUCAAGAGUAUUCAUCCCAUAAUCAUGUAAUAACCCAUCUAAUAUUAUAUCAAAUCAUACAUCUACCUAUCAAACACGCAUAUAACCAUAUUACGACAUAUAAGGAGUCAUUUCAUCAGAAAUUCAUAUCGAAGCUAAUCCUAACAACACUCCGAAACAUAAAAGACAUACCACUUAAUUCAAACAAGACAAACCAGGUAUAUAAUACAAUUUGCUUGCCCAUAUCGAUGUGUCAAUAAAUUUUUAAAUCUGUAACAUAGUCUAAAACUGUUCAACAAUCUAGCGAAAGAUAGAUACAGAAUCACCUAAAUAGAAAAGCAUAUAAUGCAGGGCCCAAUACAAUUACACAGAAAAGAAACUCCAAACAAUCACCUUAAUCCUUGCUGAUUUUUGGACAGCAGAACAACAACUAUUCGUUUAGCUCAUAACUCACAAGAUAUUCAUGCAAAAAUAGUAAACUAGGACUUUAUGGAAAGCUUAUAAAGUCUUCUACAUCUUUUGUAUUACAAUCAGAACAAGAUUCGACCUUUAGAAAGGUUAAACAGUGCUAAACAUAAAUUCUGUCCAGAUUUGGACAGAAUUCGACUACUUACUUCAAAAAUCCAUAACUGGAGUUUCAGGCAUCCAAAUCAGGUUAUCCUAGACUUUUUAGAAAGCUAAUAUAAUUGUCUACAAUUCAUUUAUAAACAUCCCAGGUUAAUUCAAUAUAUAUCAAGGUCAGAAAACAUGAGAAAGACUCUGCUGUUCAAAUUUGGACAGAUUCAGAGAUCGCACUUCAAACAGCUGUCACUUAACUUAUAGAUCACCAAAAAGGGUGAUCCAAGACUUUUUGGAAAGCUUAAAAAAAGUACUACAAUUAUUCUAUAAUUACUAAGGGUUGAUUCUCAGUUUAGCUUAGCCAAACAGUACAAUUUUUGAAACCUGUACAGAAUUUGGACAGAUUCUAAAACUGGACUUAAGAAAAUCAUAACUCCUAAACUACUAAACCUAUGGUCAUGAAAGUUUUACACAAGUAAGAUAAAGAAGUUACCUACAACUUUUCUAUAUAACAUUUCUACAGAAAACAUGGUUUACUUCAUUGAACUAGCUGCUUACGAAACUGGACAUGCAGUCCCAAACAGCAAGCGUUCCAUUUAGCUCCUAUUUGGUUUUUACAAUUAUCAUGUGCUUGACACUUUCUAAUCGCAUAUAUAGAUUUCUGCUAUUUUAUAACCAUGAAUCCAUUUACUUCACAUAAUCUAGUAUUUUGAACCUACUCUGACAUUAUGCAAACAAAGAAUCAAUUUAAGUACACUAUGCAUACACAUAUAUCCAUCCAAGCACAUUCCAUACAAUAUCAUCACCAAGAACUCAUUUUUAUUACACUAUGCAUAUAAAGUCGCUCUCUCUAUUCACCAAAUAUAUGACAUACAACAUACCAUCACAAGGACAAAAGGGAAAAGAGAGAAACAAGCAUUCCCUGACAACAACCCAUAUUCGCCUAGAACCUUUGAUUAAUCAACAUGAUAGAAGAUAAUGAUGACUAAGACUGAUCUUCAGCUUCAUAAAAUAAUUGGCUAAUUUACUUGCAAUAACACUACCUCCCUUGUGCA